This 503-nucleotide ribosomal RNA is filed under the name Aeromonas sp. AER No.201. RNAcentral describes it as "bacterial SSU rRNA". It matches the Rfam family "Bacterial small subunit ribosomal RNA", at positions 13 to 504 of the family's 1533-position model. The record is from RNAcentral. Lineage: Bacteria; Pseudomonadati; Pseudomonadota; Gammaproteobacteria; Aeromonadales; Aeromonadaceae.
UUGAUCCUGGCUCAGAUUGAACGCUGGCGGCAGGCCUAACACAUGCAAGUCGAGCGGCAGCGGGAAAGUAGCUUGCUACUUUUGCCGGCGAGCGGCGGACGGGUGAGUAAUGCCUGGGGAUCUGCCCAGUCGAGGGGGAUAACUACUGGAAACGGUAGCUAAUACCGCAUACGCCCUACGGGGGAAAGCAGGGGACCUUCGGGCCUUGCGCGAUUGGAUGAACCCAGGUGGGAUUAGCUAGUUGGUGAGGUAAUGGCUCACCAAGGCGACGAUCCCUAGCUGGUCUGAGAGGAUGAUCAGCCACACUGGAACUGAGACACGGUCCAGACUCCUACGGGAGGCAGCAGUGGGGAAUAUUGCACAAUGGGGGAAACCCUGAUGCAGCCAUGCCGCGUGUGUGAAGAAGGCCUUCGGGUUGUAAAGCACUUUCAGCGAGGAGGAAAGGUUGGUAGCUAAUAACUGCCAGCUGUGACGUUACUCGCAGAAGAAGCACCGCUAACUCC